This is a non-coding RNA of Arachis ipaensis, 1227 nucleotides long. The record is from RefSeq and is a predicted model, not a curated record. Lineage: Eukaryota; Viridiplantae; Streptophyta; Magnoliopsida; Fabales; Fabaceae.
GGGUUUUCCACGUUAAAAUCUCGGUGUGUUCUUAUUAUUGCUUUACUUGCUAUAUUUGCUUGUUAUAGUUGCUGCCAUAUUGUGUUGUGAGUGCUUCCAUAUUGUUCUUGUGUUGGACAUUUGUGUCGUUUCCGCUGCUAGGCUCUUUCAUCGCGGUGGUUGCCGUCGUCACUGAAGGAGCUCGUCGCUGAGCUGCUGUGUUGCCGCCGGAGAAGAACUCGUCAGAAAGCUGCUGUCCUAUCCCGCCGUGCUCUAUCUUCCAUUCUUCCUCCACUGCUUCCGCCAUUAUCCUUACCCUUUGAAAACGUCGUAGGAAGCGUUUCACACCUCUGUCAGUUCUGUUUCCACAGUUCUAGCCUGCCGUUCGUCACUUCUGUUCUGUUGCGCCUCUGUUCGCUGUAUUGCUUGUCUAUUGGAGCCGCGGCUGCCUCCGUCCAAAUUUUGCGCUCUUUCCUACCCUUUAGUUUGGUAUUCCGAAUUUGGUAUCUUCAGUCCCUUGAGACUAAGCUACAUCAAUCCUACAAUCGAUAAUUUGUGUGUACGUAUACGAGUGAUACAGUUAUGGACACUACCAAGUUACAGAAAUUCUCCAUUGCCAUACUCAAUUGAGAUGGUUUGACUCGAUGAAGACUCUUUGACAAAGAGGCAAAACAAGUUUUGGGAAAGAGCUGUGUAGAGAUACUUGAUCCACUCUUAUUGGAUGUUGACUACACCGGUAGUUUGCUUCCAAUUUCAAAGGCAUCCUUAAUCAUUGAAAAAGAGAAAGUAGAAGGUACUAAGGUAUUUGUUCAAAAAAUAAAUUUUUUGUUUGUUUGUUCUCUUAAAAUUAGAUCUUAAUUUUAUUCAAAAAAUAUUAUUGAGAUAAAAUCAAAGGUUAGAAAGAAGUCUUUAAUUUAACGUGGUAUUUUGUACAUAAUUUGUUGCUUGAAUUCUCCAAUAAAGUUGUGACCAAUGAUGAAUCCGAAGAGUUGGAAAAUGCUAUUACACCAAUUAAGCGAUUAUCAUUGGAGUCGAAAGAUUUGAAUGUGGAAGGAAAUACCUCAACUUACAAAAAGACCAAGAUUGAGAAUGAAACUUGAGAAUUUGGAUGCACAUGUUUUGGAAUUCCUUUUAGAGUCUAUCUAAUAAAAUAAUACCAAGCAUAGGUUUGUUUUGGUGGAAACAUUAUCUUUUCUUGAAUUGUUAUUUUUCUUUUGGUUCUUUUCGAUUUUUAUGUUUGGAAUUUAU